UACGAAGGGUGCAAGCGUUGUCCGGAAUUAUUGGGCGUAAAGAGCUCGUAGGCGGUCUGUCGCGUCGGCUGUGAAAACCCGGGGCUCAACCCCGGGCCUGCAGUCGAUACGGGCAGACUAGAGUGCGGUAGGGGAGACUGGAAUUCCUGGUGUAGCGGUGAAAUGCGCAGAUAUCAGGAGGAACACCGGUGGCGAAGGCGGGUCUCUGGGCCGUAACUGACGCUGAGGAGCGAAAGCGUGGGGAGCGAACAGG
RNAcentral lists this ribosomal RNA (253 nucleotides) under uncultured bacterium. RNAcentral describes it as "partial 16S ribosomal RNA". It matches the Rfam family "Bacterial small subunit ribosomal RNA", at positions 524 to 776 of the family's 1533-position model. The record is from RNAcentral.